GACGAACGCUGGCGGCGUGCUUAACACAUGCAAGUCGAACGCUGAAGCCCUAGCUUGCUGGGGUGGAUGAGUGGCGAACGGGUGAGUAACACGUGAGUAACCUGCCCCUGACUCUGGGAUAAGCGCUGGAAACGGUGUCUAAUACUGGAUAUGAGCAUUAACCGCAUGGUUUGGUGCUGGAAAGAUUUAUCGGUUGGGGAUGGACUCGCGGCCUAUCAGCUAGAUGGUGAGGUAAUGGCUCACCAUGGCGACGACGGGUAGCCGGCCUGAGAGGGUGACCGGCCACACUGGGACUGAGACACGGCCCAGACUCCUACGGGAGGCAGCAGUGGGGAAUAUUGCACAAUGGGCGCAAGCCUGAUGCAGCAACGCCGCGUGAGGGAUGACGGCCUUCGGGUUGUAAACCUCUUUUGUCAGGGAAGAAGCCGCAAGGUGACGGUACCUGGAGAAAAAGCACCGGCUAACUACGUGCCAGCCGCCGCGGUAACAC
This 490-nucleotide ribosomal RNA is filed under the name uncultured bacterium. RNAcentral's name for it is "bacterial SSU rRNA". It matches the Rfam family "Bacterial small subunit ribosomal RNA", at positions 28 to 526 of the family's 1533-position model. The record is from RNAcentral.